GACGAACCGAGCGAACGUUGUUCGGAAUCACUGGGCUUAAAGCGUGCGUAGGCGGGCUGUCAAGUCUGGGGUGAAAUCCCGCGGCUCAACCGUGGAACUGCCUCGGAUACUGACGGCCUCGAGGAAGGUAGGGGCAUGCGGAACUGUAGGUGGAGCGGUGAAAUGCGUUGAUAUCUACAGGAACUCCGGUGGCGAAGGCGGCGUGCUGGACCUUUUCUGACGCUGAGGCACGAAAGCUAGGGGAGCAAACGGG
Molecule: ribosomal RNA, 253 nt
Filed under: uncultured bacterium
Lineage: Bacteria
Description: partial 16S ribosomal RNA
Rfam family: Bacterial small subunit ribosomal RNA
Source: RNAcentral